Molecule: ribosomal RNA, 420 nt
Filed under: Triticum aestivum (bread wheat)
Lineage: Eukaryota; Viridiplantae; Streptophyta; Magnoliopsida; Poales; Poaceae
Description: partial small subunit ribosomal RNA
Source: RNAcentral
AUGGUUAUUACUCAUCAACUUGGUCGUGCUCAUGUGGACUAUUUAUUUCCAACAACGCCAUCAAACCAUCAGAGGUUCCUCGCCGGUUUCCUUUUGCUGCACCUUUGUUUGGUUGCUCAUUUGGUCAUGGAAUUCGAGCCUCUUUCAGGCAAUGAAGGAUCAGUACACGCCCAAUCUUUCGUGGCCUCCUCUCACAAGAACUUCUACAUCGCUGGUUGGAUUGGAUAUUCACAGAACUUGAUAUCAUAUACUUUGGGCAUUGCUGAAACAACUGAAUGUCAAAGCUACAUGCUUUCUUUUGAUUGUUGUAGCCAUCCUUCAUCGCCAGAGCCAUGGGGUGCCUAUGGGCUGUCCAUUUGUGUGGAUGUAUUUAGCUGUGGCGUUUAUGGCAGCUGCAGCAGCUUGUCAAUUAGUUCUUAG